UAUUACCAGAAGCGACGGCAGUGUGAAGGUCAGACUAAAGAUCUUGCCUGACAAGCCGAGAGGUGUUGCAUGGCGAUCGUCAGUUCGUGGUGUGAACUAUCCGGUUAAGUCCGGUAACGAACGAGAUCCUCACUGACAGUUGCAACCAAUACAGAUGUGUAUUGGGCACUCUGUCGGGACCGCCUGCGUUUAAGCAGGAGGAAGGAGAGGGCUACGGUACGUCAGUACGGCCCGAACCUCCAGGGCUACACGCGGCAUACAAAGGUUGGUACAAUGGGCUGCCACUCAGAAAUGAGGAGCCAAUCCCCUAAACCAAUCGAAGUUCGGAUUGAGGGUUGAAACUCACCCUCAUGAAGUUGGAAUCCCUAGUAAUCGCUUGUCAUCAUCGAGCGGUGAAUACGUCCCU
This 406-nucleotide ribosomal RNA is filed under the name uncultured prokaryote. RNAcentral describes it as "bacterial SSU rRNA". It matches the Rfam family "Archaeal small subunit ribosomal RNA", at positions 925 to 1331 of the family's 1478-position model. The record is from RNAcentral.